This 3936-nucleotide long non-coding RNA is filed under the name Homo sapiens (human). Its description in RNAcentral is "HSALNT0176990". The record is from RNAcentral. Lineage: Eukaryota; Metazoa; Chordata; Mammalia; Primates; Hominidae.
GCUCUGACCUUUGGUUUCCUCCUUUGCAAAAGGAAGCAUCAGCAGAAUUGAUUUCACAGGGAGGGCUGCUUUAAGGACUCGAUGAAAUAAACCAUAUAAGGCACUCAGCAGCAGCCUGGCUCAAAGGCAAUGCCCUGUAGGUGACGGUGACAGCUAUUAAUGCUGUCAGUCCUUGGACACGGCAGGUGAAAGGGGUGGCGAAAGAAGCAGUUUAAAGAUUAGUCUGAAACCUCCUGUACAGCAGAAUCCCAGAUGAUGCAUGUAGGGAUAAUCAACACCUCACCCGAGUGUGGGCUGCACCAGCAACUUCCUUCCAAAGAGAACAGCAUGGGAGCAGGUGUGUGGGACUUUACAGUGAGGAGCCCAGGUCAACCUCAUCCAUGAUGUCAUGUUGACGGCAUGUGCCCUUCACAGGCUGCGCUGAGAAGGGCAUUCACCUUUGAGGUCUUCCUCCCCACAACCUAUAACCUCCAUCCAGCCACGAGAAGAACAUCAGACAAUCCCCAACUGAGGGACAUUCUACAAAAUGCCUGACCAAUACUCCUCAAAACUGUCAAGGUCAUCAAAAAUAGAGAUCAAAAAGUCUAAGAAAAUGUCACAGCCCAAAGGAUCCUAAGAAGGCAGAAUGGGCUGGAUGUGUUGGUUCACGCCUGUAAUCCUAGCACUUUGGGAGGCAAGGUAGGAGGAUCGAUAACUGAGGUCAGUUCAAGACCCUAUCUCUACCAAAAAAAACGAAAGAAAACAAAACAAAACAAAGAGCCAGGUGUAAUGACACAUGCCUGUAGUCCCAGAUACCCAGAAGGCUGAGGUAGGAGAAUGGCUUGAGCCCAGGAGUUCCAGGCUGCAGUGAACUAGGUUGGCACCACUGCACUCCAGCCUGGGCAACAGAGCAAGACCUGGUCUCUAAAAUCAACAACAAAAAAGAAGACAGAAUGACCAAACGUAGUGUGGCAUUCUGGGUGGGAGUCUGAAAUGGAGAAAGGACAUUAGGGAAAAACUAAGGACAUGCAUAAAAUAGGGACAUUUAUUUAUUUAUUUGAGAAAGAGUCUCACUCUGUCGCCCAGGUUGGAGUGCAGUGGUGCAAUCUUGGCUCACUGCAACCUACGCCUCCCGGGUUCAAGCGAUUUUCUUGCCUCAGCCUCCCGAGUAGCUGCGAUUACAGGUGCCCACCACGCCUGGCUAAUUUUUGUAUUUUUAGUAGAGAUGGGGUUUCACCACAUUGGCUAGGCUGGUCUUGAACUCCUGACCUCAGAUGAUCCACCUGCUUCAGCCUCCCCAAGUGCUGUGAUUAUGGGAGUGAACCACCGUGCCCGGCCAAAAUAGGGACUUUAGUUAAUAAUCGUGCAUCACGAUUGACUCACUAGUUAUGACAAAUGCACAUGAAUGUAACAUGUUAACAGUAAGGGAAACUGGCAGGGCGGUAUAUAGCCACUCUUUCUACUAUUUUUGCAACUUUUCCAUAAAUCUAAAGGUAUUCUAAAAUAGUUUACUUAAAAAUAAAACCAGUCUGGAGUUGGCGUGCAGGUUAGAUAGAGGCUCUUCCACUUUCUGCAUCAAAAAGCCUUUAGUCUCUGGCGGACCUUGGGCAGCUCUGCUCUGGUCCAGCCUUAACUCCUGGUGACUGGGCACAGCUGCUUCAGGGUCUGAGUCAGCACCUUCCACCUGAGUUGCCUUGUGCUCCAAACUGUCCCUACACAGCUGAUUUCCUCUUCUUUGCCCGGGGUAGGAGUCUAUCUUCUUACUUCUGAGCCUAUGAGAAAACCCAGGUGUCUUUUGGGCUAAGGCAUCAGUUAAAAUGUCUUGAGUAGCACAUCUGGAUUUGGAACCCAAUUCCAGCAGCAAGAGGGAACUUCAUUCUGCAAACGAGUAUUUAUUGUGCACCUGUGAUGGGCCAAGCAGUAUUUUGGGUGCCAAGGAUACAACAGGGAAAAACAUUUCCUCUUUUCUUGGAGCUUGCAUUCUUGUGGGAGAGACAAAUGAAUAAUUAAUGCCAAGGAGUGGGAAAUAUGAGUAAGAAAAAAAAAAAAGAGGGGUUGGAGAAGGGAAGGCCUCCUGAGGUGACAUUUCAGCCAAGACCUGAAUGAUGGAGCAAGCCACACGGGCCUGAGGGCAGCAGCAGGAUGGACAGGACCAAAGGUCCGUGCAAAGGCCCUGAGGCUGAGUGGUGUUUGAGGAAUGUUGAGAGGCCAGUGAGGAGGGGAAGCGUAAGAGGAAUUAAGAUCCAGCAGCUCCUGGGAGAUCAGACCAUGUGGGCCCCUCACAGGUAAGGCUUCAGCUUACACACCUAGGUAGGUGGGACACUCUGCACAGUUUGGAUCAGCAAUCCAACACGAUCUGCUCAGCUCUGAAAAAUCUCUGGCUAUUGAGUGGAGAACAGGCUACAGGGAGAAGAGGGUGGGAGCAGGGAUAAUUAGGAGCCUAUUGCAAUAUCCAGACAAGAGAUAAUCGCAGUAGAGGAAGGGGCAAGGCACUGUCAGGAUAAGCCUGGAGGAUUUGCUCAUGGAUUAGAUGGUGGGUACAAGAGAAACAGGAAUCGAGGAGGAUUCCCCAGUUUUCGGCCUCGGAACUGAAGAACCGAGUUUGCAUUUACUAGGAGGGAAGUCUCCCCAGGGGAGCACAUUUCACACCAUGGGGCCGAGUGAGCUCCCUUUAGGGCUGAGUGUGGGGAGAGAGGAGGCUAUAUUAGAGGCUGGAGCCCCGAGUCCUCCAGGGUUUUGAGGCUGGGAAGCUGAGGACACCAUAGCAAGGGAGGCCAAAAAGGAGAGGCCAGGGAGGUGAGAGGAGAGCACAGAGCUGUCCACAGGCCAGGUGGAAAGACUCAAGCGGGUGAUUAUUUGCAUCCAAUGCUACUGAUAGGACUGGGCAACCCAGGUCACUGGCAACUGUGGAAAGGAAACUUUUGGUGGGAUUGUGAGGAAAAAACUGGAAGGGAGUGGGCAGAAGUGGAGACGGGGAACACACACAGCUCUUUGGAAGAGUUUUGCUCUAAGGGGAGCAGAGACAAGGCAUGGCAGCUGAAGAGAAUCUGGAAGUCUCUGGUCUUUGAUAUUGAGCUAUACCCACUUGGGAUGCAUGUAAGUGGGUGGAAAGUCCUGGCAGAGGGGAGAACCCGCAGUGCAGGAGAGAGGGCGACUGUAGGAGAAAAGCCCUCAAGGAGUGAAGAGGGAUGGGCCCCGAGGAUGGGAGCAGGGUGGGGCAUUUAUUGCCACAGAAGGGGAGGCUGAGGAUAUGGUGUCAGAUGCAGACGGGCUGAGAGUUCACCCUUCACCCUCUCUCCUAGCUCUAAGCCAGAACCUAAGGGGGCCAGAAGCUGGGAUCCAAGUCUACUUGUCCCACCCCCUCCACUGGAACUCCCUGGCCCCCAGCUCUGCACAGCUCCUGCCCUGCAGCCCUCGCCUGGCUGUGCUCCGGGAAGUCCUCGUGGGCACUUCACCCUGCUCUGCAGCCACACUCACACCCUAGAUCCAGGUCACACUAGAGGCAAAGACCCCACUGGCUCGGACUUCACCAACCUGGAGCAGGGGAGAGAAGCUAAGUUCUGACCUUUGAUCAGAAGAUGGGGAAGCCACACUCAACACGUCACUGCCUUGGGAGGUGGAUUUGGGGAUGGUGGGUCCUGGGGAAAAACGGGCUUUUGGUGUGGAAAUGACAUCUUUCCUGUUUCCGACCUCUGCCUGCCUCAUGCCAGGUGAGACACCUUCAUGCCUGUUUCCAUGAUUGAGAACAUGGGAGUACGCUUCUUUCCACCUACGUUCCUGGUGGAUUUUCACUGGAGUUGGGCUGCACUGUGGAAAAGGGGUUGGGCAGCUCCUGUGGCACAGUGAGGGGGCAUAGAAGCCCAAGGCAGUCGGUAAGAAAUCACCAAUUUAUUGAAUGAAAAACCCAACAUCAACUCAGUCCCUCCCACCCCCAUCUCCUCUCUCUGGCCCAGGAGA